This 441-nucleotide ribosomal RNA is filed under the name uncultured bacterium. RNAcentral's name for it is "partial 16S ribosomal RNA". It matches the Rfam family "Bacterial small subunit ribosomal RNA", at positions 338 to 795 of the family's 1533-position model. The record is from RNAcentral.
CCUACGGGGGGCAGCAGUGGGGAAUAUUGCACAAUGGGGGAAACCCUGAUGCAGCGACGCCGCGUGAGGGAAGACGGUUUUCGGAUUGUAAACUUCUGUUCUUAGGGAAGAAUAAUGACGGUAGCUAAGGAGCAAGCCACGGCUAAUUACGUGCCAGCAGCCGCGGUAAAACGUAUGUGGCAAGCGUUGUCCGGAAUUACUGGGUGUAAAGGGAGCGAAGGCGGGAAGCCAAGUCAGCUGUGAAAACUCCGGGCUUAACUUGGAGACUGCAGUUGAAACUGGUUUUCGUGAGUGCAGUAGAGGUUGGCGGAAUUCCGAGUGUAGCGGUGAAAUGCGUAGAUAUUAGGAGGAACACCAGUGGCGAAGGCGGCCAACUGGGCUUUAACUGACGCUGAGGCUCGAAAGUGUGGGGAGCAAACAGGAUUAGAUACCCCUGUAGUC